This 95-nucleotide ribosomal RNA is filed under the name Bacteroidota bacterium. The record is from RNAcentral. Lineage: Bacteria; Pseudomonadati; Bacteroidota.
AUCCACCUCUUCCCAUUCCGAACAGAGCAGUUAAGCCCCUCUACGCCGAUGGUACUUGGCGGGAGACCGCCCGGGAGAGUAGGAAGUCGCCAGGA